GGCCUCCGGGUGUUUACUACAGGCUGUGUUCUUACACUAACUAUAAAGAAAGAGGAGGCAGAGUAAACCUAUUCCAUAUACAUCUCAGCCCAGGCCCUGUGCCUGGUCUGUAUUGUGAAUGAGGAAACAUGG
Molecule: small nucleolar RNA, 132 nt
Organism: Dipodomys spectabilis (banner-tailed kangaroo rat)
Lineage: Eukaryota; Metazoa; Chordata; Mammalia; Rodentia; Heteromyidae
Product: small nucleolar RNA SNORA51
Exons: 1
Source: RefSeq, a predicted model, not a curated record